Molecule: long non-coding RNA, 657 nt
Organism: Lates calcarifer (barramundi perch)
Lineage: Eukaryota; Metazoa; Chordata; Actinopteri; Centropomidae
Exons: 3
Source: RefSeq, a predicted model, not a curated record
UGCCGUCCCAUAAUUCCUUGUGUUAUAAAUAAAGUUAAUUUAAAAAGAAGCCCGGUGUUAGUGCCGUGGGAUUCUUUCUUUUCUUGAUUCCUUAUCAGUUCUUCUUCACCUCAUUUUCCUAUCGAGGUCGAGGAGAAGUGAGAGCUGAGGUCAAAGGUCAGAUGACGGAAAACAUGAUGGAUCAAUGUGAGGAAGCUCGGCUGACGUUUAAGUCACUUCCUCUUCUCUUACAGGUGGGCGGGGCCUGAUCAGGACUGACCUGGAACACCUGGAACCUGAGCUCUCAACCCUCUGGGGUUUUUGGCUCAUUUCUUACGGAGAAGAAAGGCGAAAUAAAAGCAACAUAAAGGAGCGAGGAGCCUGAGGAGGUGGACGUGGCGUAGGGCGGACAGAGCGGCGCCACCGACACACACACACACACACACCGCCACAAUCCAGCCGACUUCCUCAGGUCCGCCGGGAGCAGACUGAGACGUGACAUGUCAGGUGAAAGUAACCGCAGUUUGACCCGCUGCAGAAGUGUCAUCGCUGAUACUGACUCGUCAAUGACGGAGGGAGAGAGAGAGAGCACAUCUGUCGGUCGCAGCGUCUAGGUGUAUCCAACAUGGCCGCGGGACUCGCAGCCGGGCAAGAGGUGACAUGACGGCGUGGGCGGCG